AUUGAACGCUGGCGGCAGGCCUAACACAUGCAAGUCGAACGGAGUGGCGCACGGGUGAGUAAUGUAUAGCUAAUCUGCCCUACACUAGAGGACAAAAGAUGGAAACGGCUGCUAAUACUCUAUAGUGUAGGACGAGGCUAUAUUGUAUCAGCUAGUUGGUGAGGUAAUGGCCCACCAAGGCUAUGACGGAUCACUGGUAUGAUAGGAUGAGCAGUCAACCUGGAAGUGAGGCACGGUUCGGACUCCUACGGAAAUGAGCAGAAUGGUGGAGUGCUCCAUGGGGGAAUCCCUGAAGCACCAAAGCGGCGUGAAGGAUGACACGUUGCGGGGCGUAAACUCCUUUUGUUAUCGACGCGGUACCUAACGAAUAAGCACCGGCUAACUCCGUGCCAGCCGCCGCGGUAAUAC
This 408-nucleotide ribosomal RNA is filed under the name uncultured bacterium. RNAcentral's name for it is "partial 16S ribosomal RNA". It matches the Rfam family "Bacterial small subunit ribosomal RNA", at positions 30 to 526 of the family's 1533-position model. The record is from RNAcentral.